RNAcentral lists this ribosomal RNA (433 nucleotides) under uncultured bacterium. RNAcentral describes it as "partial 16S ribosomal RNA". It matches the Rfam family "Bacterial small subunit ribosomal RNA", at positions 29 to 507 of the family's 1533-position model. The record is from RNAcentral.
AGCGAACGCUGGCGGCAGGCCUAACACAUGCAAGUCGAACGGAUCCUUCGGGAUUAGUGGCGGACGGGUGAGUAACACGUGGGAACGUGCCCUUUGGUUCGGAACAACUCAGGGAAACUUGAGCUAAUACCGGAUGUGCCCUUCGGGGGAAAGAUUUAUCGCCAUUGGAGCGGCCCGCGUCUGAUUAGCUAGUUGGUGAGGUAACGGCCCACCAAGGCGACGAUCAGUAGCUGGUCUGAGAGGAUGAUCAGCCACACUGGGACUGAGACACGGCCCAGACUCCUACGGGAGGCAGCAGUGGGGAAUCUUGCGCAAUGGGCGAAAGCCUGACGCAGCCAUGCCGCGUGAAUGAUGAAGGUCUUAGGAUUGUAAAAUUCUUUCAGCGGGGACGAUAAUGACGGUACCCGCAGAAGAAGCUCCGGCUAGCUUCGUG